Molecule: ribosomal RNA, 471 nt
Filed under: uncultured bacterium
Lineage: Bacteria
Description: bacterial SSU rRNA
Rfam family: Bacterial small subunit ribosomal RNA
Source: RNAcentral
GGCGCCAGCAGUGGAGUAUGUGGUUUAUUCGAAGCAACGCGAAGAACCUUACCAGGUCUUGACAUCCAACUAACGAAGUAGAGAUACAUUAGGUGCCCUUCGGGGAAAGUUGAGACAGGUGGUGCAUGGUUGUCGUCAGCUCGUGUCGUGAGAUGUUGGGUUAAGUCCCGCAACGAGCGCAACCCUUGCUAUUAGUUGCUACGCAAGAGCACUCUAAUAGGACUGCCGUUGACAAAACGGAGGAAGGUGGGGACGACGUCAAAUCAUCAUGCCCCUUAUGACCUGGGCUACACACGUACUACAAUGGAUGUUAACAGAGGGAAGCAAGACAGCGAUGUGGAGCAAACCCCUAAAAACAUUCUCAGUUCAGAUUGCAGGCUGCAACCCGCCUGCAUGAAGAUGGAAUUGCUAGUAAUCGCGGAUCAGCAUGCCGCGGUGAAUACGUUCCCGGGCCUUGUACACACCGCCCGU